AUUGAACGCUGGCGGCAGGCCUAACACAUGCAAGUCGAACGGUAGCACAGAGAGCUUGCUCUCGGGUGACGAGUGGCGGACGGGUGAGUAAUGUCUGGGAAACUGCCCGAUGGAGGGGGAUAACUACUGGAAACGGUAGCUAAUACCGCAUAACGUCGCAAGACCAAAGUGGGGGACCUUCGGGCCUCACACCAUCGGAUGUGCCCAGAUGGGAUUAGCUAGUAGGUGGGGUAAUGGCUCACCUAGGCGACGAUCCCUAGCUGGUCUGAGAGGAUGGCCAGCCACACUGGAACUGAGACACGGUCCAGACGCCUACGGGAGGCAGCAGUGGGGAAUAUUGCACAAUGGGCGCAAGCCUGAUGCAGCCAUGCCGCGUGUAUGAAGAAGGCCUUCGGGUUGUAAAGUACUUUCAGCGGGGAGGAAGGCGGUGGAGUUAAUAACUUCACCGAUUGACGUUACCCGCAGAAGAAGCACCGGCUAACUCCGUGCCAGCCGCCGCGGUAA
RNAcentral lists this ribosomal RNA (504 nucleotides) under uncultured bacterium. RNAcentral describes it as "partial 16S ribosomal RNA". It matches the Rfam family "Bacterial small subunit ribosomal RNA", at positions 29 to 523 of the family's 1533-position model. The record is from RNAcentral.